Molecule: long non-coding RNA, 341 nt
Organism: Meriones unguiculatus (Mongolian gerbil)
Lineage: Eukaryota; Metazoa; Chordata; Mammalia; Rodentia; Muridae
Exons: 2
Source: RefSeq, a predicted model, not a curated record
CAGGAAUUCUUAAACUCUGCGAUGGAGGAGCUGUCUGCAAAGCUGAUGCGAGCCAUGGUGCUACUCCCCAAGAGGGUUUGGUACACCUUACCCUACUAUGAACUCUCUUUAGUCACGUGGCUGACCAGAUCUUCUGAAACAUUUCUAUGACCCAAGGCCCAUACAUGUAUACAAAGAACUUUCCAAGCAGCCUCAGCAAGACAAAACAUUGCCUCUGAGUUACUAGAAAAGGGUAAUAUAACAAGAUGACUUGAUCAUUUUUAACCCCGGAAAAGAUAUUUCUAUUUGAGUACUGUAAGGAAGAGCUAAUAGAUGAAGAAGAAGAAGAAGAAGAAGAAGAA